CCUACGGGGGGCAGCAGUGGGGAAUAUUGGACAAUGGGGGAAACCCUGAUCCAGCGACGCCGCGUGAGUGAAGAAGUAUUUCGGUACGUAAAGCUCUAUCAGCAGGGAAGAAAAUGACGGUACCUGACGAAGAAGCCCCGGCUAACUACGUGCCAGCAGCCGCGGUAAUACGUAGGGGGCAAGCGUUAUCCGGAUUUACUGGGUGGAAAGGGAGCGUGGACGGCAGCGAAAGUCUGGAGUGAAAUGCCGGGGCCCAACCCCGGAACUGCUCUGGAAACUGUGAAGCUGGAGUGCAGGAGAGGUAAGCGGAAUUCCUGGUGUAGCGGUGAAAUGCGUAGAUAUCAGGAGGAACACCGGCGGCGAAGGCGGCUUACUGGACUGUAACUGACGUUGAGGCUCGAAGGCGUGGGGAGCAAACAGGAUUAGAUAUCCCAGUAGUC
RNAcentral lists this ribosomal RNA (440 nucleotides) under uncultured bacterium. Its description in RNAcentral is "partial 16S ribosomal RNA". It matches the Rfam family "Bacterial small subunit ribosomal RNA", at positions 338 to 795 of the family's 1533-position model. The record is from RNAcentral.